AUGCAAGGGUCAGAACUCACAACUGAUGCUCCGUAUUGUGACAGAUGCCUACUGCUGUUAUCCGAAAUGAUUUGUAUCAAAGAAACUAACUGCUAUAAUGCUUGUCAAAAUAUUAGUGCAGUUGUUGUUUUUCCACGCAUAGGGCCUAAUUUUGAUUUGCACAUGGCCUCUGAUUUCCCUGGUACGACCCUGUCUAGGGUUAGGUUUUGUUGUAGCAAAGCAAGGGAGCUCCUAUCUGCCGCUUAUUGCGAAAAAUUACAAUGGUUGUCAAAAAAACAUGAAACUCAUAAUUUGUCAUGCUAUUAUAAACUAAAUUUGCCAUGGUUAAUUACCAUGAUCAAAAUGAACAAUAUAGUUGCCAUGGUUAAUUAA
This 372-nucleotide ribosomal RNA is filed under the name Triticum aestivum (bread wheat). RNAcentral's name for it is "partial small subunit ribosomal RNA". Lineage: Eukaryota; Viridiplantae; Streptophyta; Magnoliopsida; Poales; Poaceae. The record is from RNAcentral.